CCCCGGUCUAACCACCGGGAUGUUCAUAACCCUUUGUUGUCCGACUCUGUUGCCUCCGGGGCGACCCUGCCUUCGGGCGGGGGCUCCGGGUGGACACUUCAAACUCUUGCGUAACUUUGCAGUCUGAGUAAACUUAAUUAAUAAAUUAAAACUUUUAACAACGGAUCUCUUGGUUCUGGCAUCGAUGAAGAACGCAGCGAAAUGCGAUAAGUAAUGUGAAUUGCAGAAUUCAGUGAAUCAUCGAAUCUUUGAACGCACAUUGCGCCCCCUGGUAUUCCGGGGGGCAUGCCUGUUCGAGCGUCAUUUCACCACUCAAGCCUCGCUUGGUAUUGGGCAACGCGGUCCGCCGCGUGCCUCAAAUCGACCGGCUGGGUCUUCUGUCCCCUAAGCGUUGUGGAAACUAUUCGCUAAAGGGUGUUCGGGAGGCUACGCCGUAAAACAACCCCAUUUCUAAGGUUGACCUCGGAUCAGGUAGGGAUACCCGCUGAACUUAAGCAUAUCAAUAANNCGGAGGAA
This 516-nucleotide ribosomal RNA is filed under the name Cladosporium sp. NY6854a. RNAcentral's name for it is "eukaryotic LSU rRNA". The stretch from base 150 to 303 matches the Rfam family "5.8S ribosomal RNA". Lineage: Eukaryota; Fungi; Ascomycota; Dothideomycetes; Cladosporiales; Cladosporiaceae. The record is from RNAcentral.